RNAcentral lists this ribosomal RNA (497 nucleotides) under uncultured bacterium. RNAcentral describes it as "partial 16S ribosomal RNA". It matches the Rfam family "Bacterial small subunit ribosomal RNA", at positions 28 to 507 of the family's 1533-position model. The record is from RNAcentral.
GACGAACGCUGGCGGCGUGCCUAAUACAUGCAAGUAGAACGCUGAAGAGAGGAGCUUGCUCUUCUUGGAUGAGUUGCGAACGGGUGAGUAACGCGUAGGUAACCUGCCUUGUAGCGGGGGAUAACUAUUGGAAACGAUAGCUAAUACCGCAUAACAAUGGAUGACACAUGUCAUUUAUUUGAAAGGGGCAAUUGUUCGACUACAAGAUGGACCUGCGUUUUAUUAGCUAGUAGGUGAGGUAAUGGCUCACCUAGGCGACGAUACAUAGCCGACCUGAGAGGGUGAUCGGCCACACUGGGACUGAGACACGGCCCAGACUCCUACGGGAGGCAGCAGUAGGGAAUCUUCGGCAAUGGGGGCAACCCUGACCGAGCAACGCCGCGUGAGUGAAGAAGGUUUUCGGAUCGUAAAGCUCGGUUGUAAGUCAAGAACGGGUGUGAGAGUGGAAAGUUCACACUGUGUCGGUAGCUUACCAGAAAGGGACGGCUAACUACGUG